This 485-nucleotide ribosomal RNA is filed under the name uncultured bacterium. Its description in RNAcentral is "partial 16S ribosomal RNA". It matches the Rfam family "Bacterial small subunit ribosomal RNA", at positions 28 to 507 of the family's 1533-position model. The record is from RNAcentral.
GAUGAACGCUGGCGGCGUGCUUAACACAUGCAAGUCGAACGGGAUCCCAGGGGUGCUUGCACUUUUUGGUGAGAGUGGCGAACGGGUGAGUAACACGUGAGUAACCUGUCCUUUUCUUUGGGAUAAGCAUUCGAAAGGGUGUUUAAUACCUUAUGUUCUGUCUGCCUCGCAUGGGGUGGGUGGGAAAGGCUUUGGCCGGAUUUGGGUGGGCUCGCGGUCUAUCAGCUUGUUGGUGGGGUGAUGGCUUACCAAGGCUUUGACGGGUAGCCGGCCUGAGAGGGGGGUGGGUGGGGGGGGGGGAGGGGCGCGCCGCGAACGCCCCGGGGCGGCGGCGGGGGGGGAUAGGGCAAAAGGGGCAAAUGCCGGAUGGGGCGACGCCGGGGGGGGGAGGAGGUCCUUGGGGUUGUAAUCUUUUGGGGUGCAAAACAGGGUUUGCCAGGGGGUGUGUGACGGUAGGGGGUUAAUAAGCCCCGGCUAACUACGUG